GAUGAACGCUAGCUACAGGCUUAACACAUGCAAGUCGAGGGGAAACGACAUCGAAAGCUUGCUUUUGAUGGGCGUCGACCGGCGCACGGGUGAGUAACGCGUAUCCAACCUGCCCACCACUUGGGGAUAACCUUGCGAAAGGAAGACUAAUACCCAAUGAUAUCUCUAGAAGACAUCUGAAAGGGAUUAAAGAUUUAUCGGUGAUGGAUGGGGAUGCGCCUGAUUAGCUUGUUGGCGGGGUAACGGCCCACCAAGGCGACGAUCAGUAGGGGUUCUGAGAGGAAGGGCCCCCACAUUGGAACUGAGACACGGUCCAAACUCCUACGGGAGGCAGCAGUGAGGAAUAUUGGUCAAUGGACGAGAGUCUGAACCGGCCAAGUAGCGUGCAGGAUGACGGCCCUAUGGGUUGUAAACUGCUUUUAUAAGGGAAUAAAGUGAGUCUCGUGAGACUUUUUGCAUGUACCUUAUGAAUAAGGACCGGCUAAUUCCGUGCCAGCAGCCGCGGUAA
Molecule: ribosomal RNA, 508 nt
Filed under: uncultured bacterium
Lineage: Bacteria
Description: partial 16S ribosomal RNA
Rfam family: Bacterial small subunit ribosomal RNA
Source: RNAcentral